AUGCCUGAGAGUUGCCUAGGGAAUUACUUGAGGAGAUGGCAUAUUGAGAGAAAAAAGAGGGAAUAUUUGAACAACAAAUGCUCCUAAACAUCCACAGAUGCCUGGUGUUCCUCUUCAGUGCUAGGCUGCAACGCUCCUCCUUGAGACCUUUGAAACCACAUGAAAUUACAACAGAUUUCAUGAAACUGAUUGGGAGAAGUGGCUAGAAACUCAAGAGGACAUGAUCCUUCCACCCCCACCUUCUAUGGGGGAACCUCAGGAGUCAACCAGCCCAGCUGUGAUGACCUUUCGUGAGCAGGCCCAGUUGAACUCCUGAAGAUGGUCCCAUUUUGGCUCAGAGGAUCCUCCUGGACAACACUUACUCCUUAUCAAGACAAAGGACCCCUCACUGUGUGUGUGUGUGUGUGUGUGUGUGUGUGUGUGUGUACACAAUGCUGUGACUUGAAUUUAGAACCUUAAACAUAUUGAGCAUAUGCUCAAUCUAUGACCACGGUGCACCCUUCUUCCAAUUUUGCUUUAAUUUCCUGUACCAUCCACUGAAAUUCAGAUCCGUGUCAUUUAUCCUAAAAUGCCUGAGAUGGCACGAAUCUCACUGAAGAUAUUCUACCCAUACACAGACACCACUUUGGGCAAAUAGAGAAAUACAACUCAGCUCGAGACUUGCAGAGAGAUUUAUAAACACACCAACACUUAAGAACUCCAUCUAUUCUCCCACAUGUGCCUGAAGUGAAUCAGAUAACAACCCCUCUUACAAAUCACUCUUGACCACAUGCUAUGUAUCCAGACCUCAUCUGAGCUCUGAGUAGAUUACUCACCUGUCAAGUUGUUGCUGUUGUUGUUUGAUAGCACAGAGUUUUCAUAAUGAACUGAUGGGCCAGAGAAAAAGGCCUGUACAGAUUUUGUCUAAGUAUCCCUGUGUGCAUUUCUCAUUAUUAAAGGAUUAUUUCUUCAUCA
Long non-coding RNA from Grammomys surdaster, 954 nucleotides. RefSeq lists it as uncharacterized. The record is from RefSeq and is a predicted model, not a curated record. The transcript is spliced from 2 exons. NCBI's taxonomy places the organism in Eukaryota, Metazoa, Chordata, Mammalia, Rodentia, Muridae.